GACGAACGCUGGCGGCGUGCUUAACACAUGCAAGUCGAACGGAAAGGCCCUGCUUUUGUGGGGUGCUCGAGUGGCGAACGGGUGAGUAACACGUGAGUAACCUGCCCUUGACUUUGGGAUAACUUCAGGAAACUGGGGCUAAUACCGGAUAGGAGCUCCUGCUGCAUGGUGGGGGUUGGAACGUUUCGGCGGUUGGGGAUGGACUCGCGGCUUCUCAGCUGGUUGGUGGGGUAGUGGCUUACCAAGGCUUUGACGGGUAGCCGGCCGGAGAGGGUUACCGGCCACAUUGGGACUGAGAUACGGCCCAGACUCCUGCGGGAGGCAGCAGUGGAGAAUAUUGCGCAAUGGGCGGAAGCCUGAUGCAGCAACGCCGCGUGCGGGAUGACGGCCUUCGUGUUGUAAACCGAUUUCGCCUGUGACGAAGCGUGAGUGACGGUAAUGUGUAAAGAAGCACCGGCUAACUACGUG
RNAcentral lists this ribosomal RNA (468 nucleotides) under uncultured bacterium. RNAcentral's name for it is "partial 16S ribosomal RNA". It matches the Rfam family "Bacterial small subunit ribosomal RNA", at positions 28 to 507 of the family's 1533-position model. The record is from RNAcentral.